UAAGAAAGGAGUCAGUUUAACAAUGAUCGGAGCCAUCUUUGCUUCUUUCGAGUUUGCCAAUACGCUUUUUUCGCCCGUAGUCGGAGCACUUAUGAGUAAAGUAACGCCGAAAUAUCUGUACCUGGCCGGAUGCAUCUUUGGUGCCGUAACUACUACAUUAUAUGGCUUGCUUGACAUGGCCCAGGACACGAGGACCUUCACAACUUUAUGCUUCAUUCUGAGGAUCGCCGACGCGCUCGCUGCUGCCACUUG
Lineus longissimus is the source of this 252-nucleotide long non-coding RNA. RefSeq lists it as uncharacterized. The transcript is spliced from 3 exons. NCBI's taxonomy places the organism in Eukaryota, Metazoa, Nemertea, Pilidiophora, Heteronemertea, Lineidae. The record is from RefSeq and is a predicted model, not a curated record.